GCCGGCGUGGCUUAGAGGUAUAGCGGCUGACUUGUAAUCAGCAGGCCGGGGGUUCAAUUCCCUCCGCCGGCU
This 72-nucleotide transfer RNA is filed under the name Thermoplasmata archaeon HGW-Thermoplasmata-1. RNAcentral describes it as "tRNA-Thr". It matches the Rfam family "tRNA". From Rfam's summary of the family: Transfer RNA (tRNA) molecules are approximately 80 nucleotides in length. Their secondary structure includes four short double-helical elements and three loops (D, anti-codon, and T loops). Further hydrogen bonds mediate the characteristic L-shaped molecular structure. tRNAs have two regions of fundamental functional importance: the anti-codon, which is responsible for specific mRNA codon recognition, and the 3' end, to which the tRNAs corresponding amino acid is attached (by aminoacyl-tRNA synthetases). tRNAs cope with the degeneracy of the genetic code in two manners: having more than one tRNA (with a specific anti-codon) for a particular amino acid; and 'wobble' base-pairing, i.e. permitting non-standard base-pairing at the 3rd anti-codon position. Lineage: Archaea; Methanobacteriati; Thermoplasmatota; Thermoplasmata. The record is from RNAcentral.